CGCGGGAUGGAGCAGUCUGGUAGCUCGUCGGGCCCAUAACCCGAAGGUCGUAGGUUCAAAUCCUACUCCCGCAA
Transfer RNA from Weissella halotolerans DSM 20190, 74 nucleotides. It matches the Rfam family "tRNA". From Rfam's summary of the family: Transfer RNA (tRNA) molecules are approximately 80 nucleotides in length. The record is from Rfam. NCBI's taxonomy places the organism in Bacteria, Bacillati, Bacillota, Bacilli, Lactobacillales, Lactobacillaceae.